UAUUAAUCGGUGCAAAUACGUCCACACUGACACUGUUACUUACCAUAAACAUUCCCUCUUUUGAUUUUGUUUUCAAUUGAACUUCUUCAACAGGAUGAAACGUGCCAUAGAGUCCAGCACUACGCAACAAUGUCGUUUCUGCAUGAAAAACUCGGUAACAUCGGAGGAUAUCUUCUGCAAGGAGACUACGGGUUCGAGCAUUUCUGAAAUGUUGAAUGGUCUUUUGAGCGAGGACUGCCAGGUUAAACGGGAUGCACUGCCGCAGUGUGCCUGCCUGGCCUGCAUACUGGCCACAAAAAGUGCCUUUAGCUUCAAGAUGAAGUGUGAGGAGAGCUAUCGAUUCUUGUCUCAGCUCCUGCUGAACACACGCGUUGCAGAGAACAAGUUUGUAGAUGAGGUACACAACAGCGAAGAUGAGAGGCCACCCAGUGAGAUACCCUUUGAAGAGGCUGGCUUCGAAGAGCAGCUAGAUAGAAAGGAAGGCUUGUCAGAGACGCAUGAGGUAGCGGAUCGGUUGGAGUUGGCAAAGGAAACCUGUCCCCACGUUGAGGGAAAUCAGGAAAUACAGAGGGUUAGACAGGAGAUGGCUGAAAUGAAGGAGGAGGCAGACGGAUUGCGAGAUGAAAAUAAGCAGUCGAUCGUUGCUCUUAAGACCGAUUCGAGGACAAAUCAAUCCACCUCUUUGCUGUGUUCCCAGUGUGGUUUGACUCUGAAGUCAAAGUACACGCUGGCCCAGCACAUGGCCGCACACAAGAAACAGUUUGAGCGAUCCCAUCUUUGCGAGACCUGCGGCAAAGGCUACAGAAGCAGAGCCCAAUUAAUAAUACACAAGCGCACGCACACCGGCGAGCGACCCUAUCAAUGCUCCCACUGCCCGAAGACAUAUUUCCAGAGAACGGCUCUCAAGGCGCAUUUGAUUACCCAUGGCAAGGAGCGUCCAUAUAAGUGCUUACAGUGCCAGAAAGCAUUUUACCUGCCGAGGAAUUUGAAGGACCACCAAAAGCAGCACAAUGGCGAGCGACCCUUUCAGUGUGUCAAUUGCCCUUUGGCCUUCACAAAGAAAGCCAAUCUGAGGACACAUAUGCGACAGCACACAGGAGAGCGACCGUUUAAUUGCGACAUCUGUGGCUUGACAUUUGUCCAGAAUCAGCAUCUAAUAACCCAUCUUCGUGUCCACAACGAGGAUCGUCCCUUCAAGUGCAGCGACUGUGAUAAAUCAUUUUUCGUUAGCGCCAAUCUAAAAAAGCAUCUGCGCGUCCACACCGGCGAGAAGCCCUUCAAGUGCGCUGUCUGUGGGCAGGACUUCAAGCACAGUCAUCAUCUCAAAUCCCAUAUUCGCAGUCAUACUGGCGAGCGGCCCUACAGGUGCAGCGAGUGCGAAAAGGCCUUCGCCUCCAACCAAUCGCUGCAGAAACAUAUUGUGUGGCAUGCAAGCAAUAGAGAUCGGGCCUACAAGUGCGCCCACUGCCCCAAGGGCUUCGACAGCUUACGCGGCCUUAAAUAUCAUAUGCGAUUGCACAGAUCCUCGUCAAAGGUGAUGGAGAAGGUUGAGGCUAUGCACCCGUGUCCGAUCUGUAACCUGAGGUUUAGCCUGCAGAAAACCAUGGAUAGACACAUGGCCAUCCACAAUAAGGACCAAAAAAGUAUUGAAAGUAGGAAUACCUCCAGAAGCACAUGCAUUCACAAGGACGGAUAGUCAUCCCAUUUGUCACUCUCUAUAGAGCAAUAACGUUUUCUGAGAAUAAUGCUUUAAGUUCAAAUAAAAAAUCAUGGCCGUCGUCGCCUUGCCGCUUACCGUUCUGAUGCCUCAUUCGUAUCUGCUACAUUCCGUAUCUGCGGGGCUGAAGGACAGAUUAGAUGCGAAAUAAAUGUGAAGAAUAGAGAUUUUGUACUCACGUUAUCAGGACUCGUAUGACAUUCACUUCUAAAAGAUUUGGGGCUCGGAUAUGAAUUCCUGAUCAUUCGAAUGUGAAGGUGCACCAGGCACUAUUAAACGAGGCAUAUUCUCGAAUCCAUUUAGUUCUCGAGGCCGGAAGUAUGGUAGAGUGACAGUGUUGACAAAUGACAGCCACGUCAACGAACGAAUGACACAUUAAACAUCAAGGUGCACGGUGACGCCAUGUUUGAUGAGAGAGAGAAGACCGAAGUUUGUUGUACUGACUCAAAAGUAAUCGAAAUGUUUAUAGCUUGAAAUCUAGUUUGUUCAAAAUUUAGCACAAACAAAUUUUUGUUUAUUGAUUGUAUUGCAAAAUUUGUUAAUUUUUCGAGAGAAUCGGAAAAAAAUUAUAUUUUUUCGUUGAUAAAUUUCAGUCACACUACAGUAUUAAACAUGAUGUCUUAUAAACAAAAUUUCCACAAUUUCUGGUUUAAUUUCGAUGAAUUUAAGGAGUGGCUACGCAAUGUGCUAACUGACCCCAGAAAAGCGUACUGCUGCUUUUCUUAUGGUGACUCUCAAAAUCUGGCAACACUGGUACUGAGCUAAAUAGGAACAGAAAUAAGAGCCUGUUGCGGUUGCGGACCACUUAAUAUAUGUACUUUCAUCAUGGCGUACACAAACACAUACGAAUAAGUCGGUAUGCUAUUCAGCUAUUCAAAACUAAAUCCAUUAUAGGGAUACGAAAUAAAGUGCGUAGAGUGGGAAAAGCAGUGCAUCCGUUUAAAUAUAAAA
This is an RNA transcript of Drosophila pseudoobscura, 2668 nucleotides long. It is a transcript of the gene named Meiotic central spindle, with no coding region annotated. Lineage: Eukaryota; Metazoa; Arthropoda; Insecta; Diptera; Drosophilidae. The record is from RefSeq and is a predicted model, not a curated record. The transcript is spliced from 5 exons.